This 2295-nucleotide long non-coding RNA is filed under the name Marmota monax (woodchuck). Lineage: Eukaryota; Metazoa; Chordata; Mammalia; Rodentia; Sciuridae. The record is from RNAcentral.
GAGAGCCUCAAGAGAUAGACUGGGUGGUAGCCACCCACAAAGGAAGAUAUGAUUUUGGAGCCUGGCCCAAGCCUGAUGAAGAGGAGGGUGGCCUCUGUGCCAUCAGCUCUGCCUGCUGAGGGUUGCAGGAGCCUGAAGUGCACUUCCUGCCCCUGCCUCCUCCCAGCCCGGUUGACUGACCUCUGCCCACCGGAUGUACACCUACAAGUCUGCUGUCUUACCUCUCCUCUCUCAUGUUUCCAUUCUGCAGAAAUUGGCAAAGGGAAGAAGAGCAAAUUGUUGAGGAAAGAGAGGAGAGAUGAAGAUAUCUCUACCUGGCUUUGCUCUUUCGCCUACCUCUCCCCACCUCUCCAGCCAUGGGGUGGGAAAUACACGCAGCCUUGUGAGGAGUCUGUCUCUUCCGCCCGCACAGAAUAAAUCAUAUUCAGAUACCCAUUCCAAUGCAUAAGGAAUAAUACUACCCAAGGACAAAGAAGCACAUGUAUGUGAUUUGGAUGGCAUACAUUGGGCAAAGACAAGAGGUGGCUCCAACUCUUUUAUAGGCACAAUUCUGGUGACAAGAAUGCAGGUCUGUUCCAGACUAGUCUCUAAACUCAGAGUUGGGGUAGGGAAAGGGCAAGAGGCCCAGAAGUAUUGAGAGACUGUGAAAUUAGAGCCUUCUGCCUAGGAUCAGGGAGCUGGUGCAGAGGGGGAUUUUUAAGGACAGAUCUUUAGGGUCAGAUCUUUAGGUUCAGAGCUUGGGGUUGGGAUCCUACCCUUUCAUUUCAUGCUGAAUUUCUGUACAAGGUCAAGAAGCCCUUUAGUUUGGCUCAUGCCAGCGAGGGCUAGGGACACUGCCCAAGUUAAUCUUCUUUCUAGGACUAUGGGUCUUGACAGCUGGUUUGUGGCUUGCCCUGGGGAGGUCAGAGUCAUAUCACAGACAUGGUGCAUCUUCUUGGAGAAUCAGCUUAACUUUUGGAAUUAACUGGUUAUGUGAAUAAAAUCAGCAGCAAAUAUUAUAAUGCCUGUAUGUAAUGAUAGUAGUACCAAUAGGCGUUCCUGGGAUGUUGACUUGUCCAAGGUCCCACAGUGAGAACAGAGCUUGAUAAGAAGCCAUGCAGUGGUGGCUCCCAGGCCCAUCUUCUGUCCAUCAGAAUUUAUAAUCAAAUUUGGAAAUUUAAAAGUUUAAAACAGUUAAUGUAUAUAAAUGGAGCCAUAAGUUAAAUCAAAAGCAAAAUUUAUUUUAUUUUUUGUGGUGCUGGGGGUAGACCCAGGGCUUUGUGCAUGCUAGACAAGUGAUCUACCACUAAGCCACACCCAGUCUAAAAGCAGCUUUUAACAAUUUGAUUGAGGUAAAGAUAAGAUACACAAGAAUAAGUAAGAGCUGGUUGUUUUGUGCCUGUGAUGAUGGCCAGGUUAGCCCAUGACCUGAGGAGGAGGCUCCAAUUUGCUAGCUGUCAGGUUUGGGAAGUACUUCACUUACUGCCUGCAACUCGGAGCAGAGUAGGCCUGCAUCGGACCGCAGGUGCUUACCAGCCAGGUGGUUUCCUGGGGUCCACUCCUGGAACAACAGACAUUUAUGGAGAACUUAUUCUCUGCCAUUAUCUCAUUUAUCCCGCCCCCCCCCCCCCACAAAUCUGUGAGGUCCUCAUUUUAGAAAUAAGGAAAAUGAAACACAGACAGCUUAGGUUGCACUAGGUAACCAGUUAAUCAAUGACAGAAUCAGUCUCCAACCCCGAGUUGGUCUGACUCCAUGUCCAGAACUACAAACCACUACACCAUAUUAUCCUCAUUCCCCAAAAUGAUCUGACUCCCUGGGUCUGGAGCUGGGCUGCAUUCUGUACCUCAGUAAGUACCCCCAGAAGGCCGCUGGACCACACUUUGAGAAGCAAUGCUCUAUAGCAGCAGUUUUCCAUCUGGCUGCAGAUUAGAACCAGAGAUUUCCAAAACUAUUAAAGCCCUUCCCUUCUUUUUCAGUUGGUCCAAAGUAAGGGUGGGAGUGGUGGCAUUUUUUUUUUUAAGUGUGACAAUGUAUUCAUUAAUCCAUUCAAUCUGUCAAAGUAGGUCUGGGUAUCUACUUUGUGUCCUUCCCUGCCCUGGGGCUGCAGAUACAAAGGUAGGUGGGACCUAUGUUUGCUUUCCCUGGACUCAGGUGACUGGCCUGGCUGGGUGGAGUCUGCUGUUGGUGGAGGAGGGGAGGCUGGGUGAGCUCUGGAAAGAGCAAGUUCAUUCCCUUCUCAGAUGCUGCUGCUGCUGCCUGGCUGCCCUCUUUGUAAGGUCUUCAGCCUCACCCUAGAGGACUGUUUGUUUGAAUUC